RNAcentral lists this transfer RNA (73 nucleotides) under Anguilla anguilla (European eel). It matches the Rfam family "tRNA". Rfam says of the family: Transfer RNA (tRNA) molecules are approximately 80 nucleotides in length. Their secondary structure includes four short double-helical elements and three loops (D, anti-codon, and T loops). Further hydrogen bonds mediate the characteristic L-shaped molecular structure. tRNAs have two regions of fundamental functional importance: the anti-codon, which is responsible for specific mRNA codon recognition, and the 3' end, to which the tRNAs corresponding amino acid is attached (by aminoacyl-tRNA synthetases). tRNAs cope with the degeneracy of the genetic code in two manners: having more than one tRNA (with a specific anti-codon) for a particular amino acid; and 'wobble' base-pairing, i.e. permitting non-standard base-pairing at the 3rd anti-codon position. Lineage: Eukaryota; Metazoa; Chordata; Actinopteri; Anguilliformes; Anguillidae. The record is from Rfam by way of RNAcentral.
GGCGAAAUAGCUCAGCUGGGGAGCGUUAGACUGAAGAUCUGAAGAGGUCCCUGGUUCAAUCCGGGUUUCGGCA